Molecule: ribosomal RNA, 449 nt
Filed under: uncultured bacterium
Lineage: Bacteria
Description: partial 16S ribosomal RNA
Rfam family: Bacterial small subunit ribosomal RNA
Source: RNAcentral
AACGAACGCUGGCGGCAUGCCUAACACAUGCAAGUCGAACGAGAUCUUCGGGUCUAGUGGCGCACGGGUGCGUAACGCGUGGGAAUCUGCCCUUUGGUUCGGAAUAACAGUUGGAAACGACUGCUAAUACCGGAUGAUGACGAAAGUCCAAAGAUUUAUCGCCAGAGGAUGAGCCCGCGUAGGAUUAGCUAGUUGGUGUGGUAAAGGCGCACCAAGGCGACGAUCCUUAGCGGGUCUGAGAGGAUGAUCAGCCACACUGGGACUGAGACACGGCCCAGACUCCUACGGGAGGCAGCAGUGGGGAAGAUUGGACAAUGGGCGAAAGCCUGAUCCAGCAAUGCCGCGUGAGUGAUGAAGGCCUUAGGGUUGUAAAGCUCUUUUACCCGGGAUGAUAAUGACAGUACCGGGAGAAUAAGCUCCGGCUAACUCCGUGCCAGCCGCCGCAGUAA